AGCUUUGCACAGUGGUGGUAUUGUAGCCAAUGAGGUUUAUCUGAGGUGUGAUUAUUGCUAAUUGAAAACUUUUCCCAACACUCCACCAUUACAACUUGCAAUAUAGUAGGCAUCGGCAAAAAAAAAAAAAA
Small nuclear RNA from Chlorocebus sabaeus (green monkey), 131 nucleotides. It matches the Rfam family "U4 spliceosomal RNA". Rfam says of the family: U4 small nuclear RNA (U4 snRNA) is a component of the major U2-dependent spliceosome. The structure of U4 snRNA from yeast and human has been reported. U4 snRNA presents a k-turn RNA motif in the 5p-SL related to recognition of Snu13 protein. Lineage: Eukaryota; Metazoa; Chordata; Mammalia; Primates; Cercopithecidae. The record is from Rfam.